RNAcentral lists this long non-coding RNA (1465 nucleotides) under Marmota monax (woodchuck). Lineage: Eukaryota; Metazoa; Chordata; Mammalia; Rodentia; Sciuridae. The record is from RNAcentral.
CUCAGUAGUAGUGUGCUUGUCUAUCCUGUGCAAGGGACUGGGUUCCAUCCCCAGCACUGAAAGAAAAAAGUAAAUUAAAUCCAUACCCUUAAUAGGAGAGGAGGGGAUACCUCAGGGGUGGUGGUGGAAUCUGAUCAACUGGUGGCAAAACCAAAAAGCUUUUUUCAGCACCUGGCUUCAAUAGCAUGAUGGCAUGCUGACUGCUAGAUGGCUGCAUGGUGACUCUGGCACUGGCCAGCUCAUGCCCAGCUAUGCAGCCCAGGGAGGCCUCUCUAGCUGUAAUACUCACACUCUCCCCAGGGUGCCACUGGGAAAAGCUGCUCUGGAUCUAGUUCCAGCUACUAUUCCUGGUUCCCUUGGGUCCUGGCCUGGCUCAAUCCCUCCUCUGGACUGGGGCUUCCUAGACCCUGAGGAGAGGUGGGUGGAGCUCUGGUUUGUCAUCUCACUCCCAGGAUGUCAGCUCAUAGAUCCUCACCAUAUGGAAAGCUGAGGCUCAAGGAAAGGCAGCUAAGCUUGCUCAAGAUCCACAGCAAAGUCAGCAAGUGAAACCAGAAUGGCCAGGAAUUUGAGUGGCUCUGCACCCAGCCAAGCCUUUCCUCCUAUGGCUGGGCCUGCCUGGGCCUGGCCUGGGCUCCACACUGUCUGGGCCAGCUGGGGCUGCUCCAAGGAAUUCUCAAUGCCAGGUUUACUUCUGUGCUGUAUCUCCUGAGCCUGGUUAUGGCCACUGAGUGGCUGCCUGUAGUCGGGUGCUAGCCUGUCACCUGCCUCUGUCCACCAGGGGACUCUUGCCCUAGGCAGGGAAGUGUCUCCCUACAGGUGCCACUCUGAGCAGGCUCUUCCUCUCACCUGGAAAGUAGGCAGGGUAGGAAGGGAUAGGUGGAACGACUUGCCUACAUACAGGGGCGGUUAAUGAAGACUCCAUAUUCUGUUGGUUCCCAGCACUGGGGACACUGAGGCAUAUCAGAACAAGUCUCAGCACUGGAGUCCUCAGUAAGGUGAGGGAACUCCAAGGAGAGAGCAGGAAUUGGAGCACAGUGACUUAAAACACUCUGGUUCAGAGAUGGCAAAAGUGACUGUGGACCCACAGAUGGUGCCUGCCACAGUAGAGGGCCAGAUAAUACUAGAAGAAGUGACCUGAAAGAUGGCAGUCUCAGGAACAGGAAAUCAAAUGUAUAGAUGCCAGGAGUGGGAUGGGCAAUAGAGGGCACACACGGUUGAAUAUGAACUUAAAACAGAGUGGGAAUUAAGGAACACAAAAUUAGAGAGCAGAGGCCACAGCGGAGUACUUGUUUGAGGUGACUAGGGAAGGUGUGCUAGUGGGAUAUUGAGAAUGACAUAAUCCCUCCCACCCAAUGAACAAUGGUUAUUUUCAGGCUCAGGAACAAAAUUUGGUGGUCUUAAUAGCUCUACUGUAGUCAUGGCCAUGGAUAAAUACAUGCAGGGAGAGUAGCAAAACAGAAAUGAG